GCAAGUGCCGUUGACAGAAUGCAGGCGGGAAGCUUCAGUUUGGGUAGAGAUGUAGCAUCAAACAUUCACGGAUGUCCAGGGAGCACGGGCACACAGGCUGCUGGCCAGAGGUACUAGGAAGGUACAGGCGGGAGCUCGACGAGGACGCACCUUCCCCUGUCUUGGAAAGGAGGCUGCUCACAGUGCUGCUGGACUCUUUAAGCCCUGAGGUCAUGUGAAAAGAAGUUUGCCCUGUGUCCUUCUGUCUCCUGUUGGCUGUCCACAAGAUGGAGAAGGCGGAAGCAACCUGAGGCGUCCUCUUUGUCUGUAAAGAUAGAGAGUCCAUUGUGGAAGGGGGAGAUACAGGAACUAUAUAGGCGAGGCCCUACCGGCCUGCAUCUCUUAUCUCCAGAAUUCUUUUACAGAAAAGAAAAAAAAUAAACUUUUAUCUGGCUUAAGCCACUACUGUUUCUGGGCUCUGUUACUAGCUGCCAAAUGCAAAAUUUUAACUGAUAGAAAAGUCCUUGACGGAGUUUGAGCUGGUGAAUGGAUGCUGCCUGUUUGGUGGCUCUGCAGUGGUGGAUCUGUGGGAGUGGAGCGUCCUGGAGGGUACCAGGAGAUAAAGAUGGCUUGGCAGAUGGGGGCAGACAGUGAGAAUCCACCUCACAAGGUGUCACGGACUUUCUUUUCCCCCAGGACACCUGUGCUGAAGUACUGUUAUACAGUGGCUCUUUAAACGGCUAUUGAUGGAGUAAUUUGAAGUCUGCUCCUGUCAGCUGGCCUCAAAGCUGGGCUAUUUAGAAGAUGGGGACUCUUUGUGCCUUAAAAAAAGCAGCAGGUAAAGAAUGGAGCGGGCAGGGGUAUCGGCAUUACAGGGAAGGCAAGUGACUCCCUGCAGGCGUCUCCAAGGAAAGGGCUUUUUGUUACACGUGAUUGUCUAAUGAAAAUACAUCGACGUCUAAUGAAGAUAUCCUUUACUGAGUAGCAACUGUAAGUAAUGUCCCAAAUGUACACACUUCUGUAGCUUACAGCAUGAAUUUAUACACUACAUAUUUCUAAUUUAUUUAUUUUCAUAAUAACUUCAUCAUCGUAAGGUUAGGCAAGACGUUAGAAGGACAUUUACUGUUUAUAUGGAUUAUAAAAAUAUGACCAGACUCCGGUUCUAGCUCAUUCUGUAAUCCAAGGACUUGUGAGCCAGAGGUAGAAAGACAGUUGUGAGUUUAAGGUCAGGUGACUGUGGGUGACAUAGUUCAGGGACCAGGGGGCUGCAGGGUUAGACCUUCCUCUCAAAAAAAAAAAAAAAAAAAAAAAAAAAACCACCAUAAAAAAGUUCAGUUCCACAGCACAACUACUAAAGCAACAUAAAAGAGAGUAGCUUGGCCCUGGGUGACGAAGGAUUUUACCAUCUUUUUCUAUUGUGUAAGAAACUAUAAGUCCAGGGCCAGGGAGACAGCUCAUCAGGCAAAACUGCUUGCUACAAACCUGACAGCCUGGGUGUGAUCCCUGGAACUGACCCCCGAAGAGUGUCCUCUGCCUUCCUCACUUGUACCUUGGCACCCACAUGCCUGCACUCAUUCACACAUCACACACACACACACACACCAAUAAAUAAUAAUAGUAAAUUCAAUCUUAAUUCCAGAGCAUAGAUUUCUUGUGAUCUAAAUGUAUUAACUUACUAUUCCAUUUCUUCCUUCCUUUCUUUCUCUUUCUUUCUUCCUUUCUUCCUUCCUUUCUUCCUUUCUUCCUUUCUUCCUUUCUUCCUUCCUUCCUUCCUUCCUUCCUUCCUUNNNNNNNNNNNNNNNNNNNNNNNNNNNNNNNNNNNNNNNNNNNNNNNNNNNNNNNNNUGCUGGGAUUCAAGGCGUGCGCCACCAUGCCCGACACUAUUCCAUUUCUUUUUUCUUUCUUAAAACUUAGUUGGGGGCUGGAGAGAUAGCUCAGCAGUUAGAGCACUGGUUGCUCUUCCAGUUGCUUCUUCUACAUUCCACUCCCAGCACCCACAUGGCAGAUCAUAGCCAUCUAUAUAACUCCAGUUCUAACUCUGGCCUCCCUGGGCACCAGACGUGAACGUGGUACACAGAUAUGCAUGUAGAAAAAAACCCAUAUGCAUAAGAUAAAUGAAUCUUUUAAAAGUAUAUGUUGGGACUCUAAGGUUCCUUUCAAACUUGGCAUGGACAAAUAAUCAGAAGCCUCUCAAUUCACCUUCAUAUUUCAACUCCAUUAAAGCUGUGGCCUUCAGCCUUUCUCUCCACCUAGAGGAGGACAGAUGUUACCUGAAAUAUCUUUUUUUUUCCCCUGAGACAGGGUUUCUCUGUGUAGUCCUAGAACUCACUCUGUAGACCUCGAACUCAGAAAUCGGCCUGACUCUGUCUCUUAAGUGCUGGGAUUAAAGGCGUGCGCCACCACUGCCCGGCCUGAAAUAUCUUUUUGAUUAAUUAUGUCUCCUUGUCCUUUGCCUUGAUUUUGUCAAAAAUAACGUGUAAGAAUUCAACAACUACUGACUAUUCAGGUACGGUUCUCUACACUUUUGCCAAAGGACUGUUUGGGUAAGUUUAAUUCUUUCUUAUUUCUCAUGUGGGGGACUUGGGUGGGGGUGGGGGUGGGUGGGUGUGUAUGUGUGUGUGGUUGUUGCUUGUUUUUGUUUCUCUCUUUCUUUUUCCUUUUUAAAAUGCAGUCUUGCUAUGUAGUGCCUGUUGGCCUGCUACUUACUAUGCAGCCCAUAACUCUUGGCGAUCCUCUUGCAUCAGCAAGUUUCACAGUCUUAGGUCACCAUGCCCAGCUUCAACUAUUAGGGUUUGACUGGUACUUCUCUGAAGUUCCUGGGUUGCGUUUUGUAAGAUCUGCACUGAAGAGAAAGACGCUGAAGCCUGCCAUCUGCCGCACAGACUUUGUUUUCUCCGGUUAAACGGUAACGAUGCUGCUAUGUGUGGGGCACCGUGUGCCAGCAGCUGAGUGGCUGGAUCGUAUUCUAACCCCAGUGAAGAUUCUGGGAAGCAGCUGUAUUGGUGAAGAAACUGUUUCGGAGCUGUGGCUCAAGGCUGCAGAGAGCAGCUGAGCAAGGGCAGUUUAAGGUCUUGCUGACUCCUGUGUGGCUCGGAGGGUGACCUGUCAUUCUUAUAAAUAAUCUGGAGGAGAACAAGGCCAACUGUCUCCAUGUGACACUUGAUCCCACUUUUAUCCUUUCGAGGCUGCCAAACUGAAAGACCUUAUGGUGAUUAAAUAUUUCUGGCCAGCAAUGCCCUGCCACUUUAUUGAAAAACGAUAGCCUGAUAUCUUCUAUAAUUUUUUUUUUUUUUUUGCUGUUGAGACAAGGUCUCAUGCAGUCCAGGCCAGCCUUGAAUUCACGGUGUAGCCAAGGUCGACCUUCAGUUUCUGAUCCCCCUGCCUCCUUCUUCUAAGUACCAAAACUAAAGGUGUGCCCAGAUUGUCAUGCCAUGGCUUUGUACAUGCUAGGUGAGUGUUCUAACUGAGCCAUAUCUAUAGCUCUGUAACUGUCUCCAUAAAAACAAAUGUUCUGUAUCAGCGUUAGCUAUGGUGGACAAGCUGCCCCAAGUCACCAUAGUUCAUUGGUAAUGCAUUGCAGAGGGGCUGGAGAAAUGGCUCAGCGGUUAAGAACACUGACUGCUCUUCAGAAGGUCCUGAGUUCAAAUCUCAGCAACCACAUAGUGGCUUAUAACCAUCUGUAAUGAGAUCUGAUGCCCUCUUCUGGAGUGUCUGAAGACAGCUGCAGUGUACUUACAUAUAAUAAUAAGUAAAUCUUAAAAAAAAAGAACACAGUAAAAAAACAAAACAAAACACACACACACACAAUGCAUUGCAGAGGGUCCACCCUUUUCAUUGGAUGGACAAGGCUCUGCCUCAUGGGGGUGAUGGUAGGGAUGGGAGCUGUUUGAAUGCCAAACAGUAAUAAAUCAAACAAAUGACAAACCACACACACACACACACACACACUACCCCCCAAACACACUACCCCCCAAAAGAAAACCAAAAUGAAAUGAUGAAAUAAAAAACAGGACAGGUAAGAUAGGUCGGUUGGUAAAAGUGCUUGCUGCUGGAACCCCAUCGGAGAGGGCAAGAACCCAUUCCUAAAGGCUGUCCUCUGAAUUCUCUGUGCGGAACACUACAGAACACACCUUUGUCUGUGCCCCAGUCUCUUCUGAAGCACACAGAAUAAUAUCACUUUAUUUGGCAGGGGUGGAGGUGGGCAGCAAGCUACUGUAAACCAGGUUUGGGAAAUCUCUUCUCAAAGGACAGGACAUUUUGCGGUAAGAGAAGUAUGCUGGCUCAUAGAAGUUGGGGUGUGAAAAGUUCUUUGUAUUUUCUAAGGUUUUUAGAGCAGAGCUGGAGAUUGUAAUGAGAUUUUAAUGUAGACCUAGGGUUAAGAGAAAGGAGAAUGCACUGGAAGAAAGGAAAGCGCAACCAAGAGCCAAGGUGUGGGCUUCCCAAACAUUGCCUUCUUCCAGGGCAGAGAAGGCCCAGAUCAGGGCCAUGUAUCUGCAGAGGCCCAUAGGCAAGCCUGUGGUGUGUUUUCUCGAUUGAUGUGGAAGGGCCCAGCAUGUGGUAGUGGUUCUGAGUUCUAUGAGAGAGCAGGUUUCAAGAGAAGAAAAAAAAAAUGCACACGGGUAAACAUUCCCUGUCUAGGGAACUGAUAGGAAAUGUUGUGAGUUAUUUGUCUGUAUUUUUUUUUUAGUUGAAAUUUUAUCUUAUUUAUGUGUAUGUAUCUCUGUGUGUCUGCCACUUGUAUUUGAAUGGUCACGUAGAUCAGAGAAGAGCCCCUGAAGCUGGAGUUAUAGGCAAUACUGAGCAGCCCAGUGUCAUUGCUGAAAACUGAACUUGGCCCCUCUAGAAGAGCAGCCUGUGCUCUUAACUGCUGGGCUAUCUCUCCAGCCCCCAUUUGUUUAUAUUUUGAUAUUACUUAUUUAUUAAUUUAUUUUUGUUUGUUUGUCUUCAAGGCAGGGUUUCUCUAUGCAGCCCUGGCUAUCCUGGAACUCGCUCUGUAAAGCAGGCUGGCCUUGAACUCAGAGCUGUACUUGUCUCUGCUUCCCAAGUGCUGGGACUAAAGGUGUGCACCCCCGCCCCGGCUGAUUUUAUUUAUUUAUUUUGUAAGUAUCUAUUGUUUUUAUUAUUGUAUGUGAACGGGUGUGUUAUGUAUACAUGUUAUAUGUAUCCACUACUUACAUGCAGUGCCUGAGGAAGCCAGAGAGGGCAUCAAAUCCCCUGCAACUGGUGUUAGAGCUGAAUCUGGGUCCUCUGGAAGAACAGCAGAUGCUCUUAACUGCUGGAUUAUCUCUCCAGCCCUUGUCUCCCCGUCCCCCCAUCCCCCAACAGACAGGGUUUCUCUGUGUAGCUCUGGCUGUCCUGGAGCUCACUUUGUAGACCAGGCUGGNNNNNNNNNNNNNNNNNNNNNNNNNNNNNNNNNNNNNNNNNNNNNNNN
Molecule: long non-coding RNA, 5410 nt
Filed under: Mus caroli (Ryukyu mouse)
Lineage: Eukaryota; Metazoa; Chordata; Mammalia; Rodentia; Muridae
Description: lncRNA (MGP_CAROLIEiJ_G0006443.1)
Source: RNAcentral